RNAcentral lists this ribosomal RNA (793 nucleotides) under uncultured Massilia sp. Its description in RNAcentral is "bacterial SSU rRNA". It matches the Rfam family "Bacterial small subunit ribosomal RNA", at positions 8 to 796 of the family's 1533-position model. The record is from RNAcentral. Lineage: Bacteria; Pseudomonadati; Pseudomonadota; Betaproteobacteria; Burkholderiales; Oxalobacteraceae.
AGAGUUUGAUCAUGGCUCAGAUUGAACGCUGGCGGCAUGCUUUACACAUGCAAGUCGAACGGCAGCGCGGGGCAACCUGGCGGCGAGUGGCGAACGGGUGAGUAAUAUAUCGGAACGUACCCAAGAGUGGGGGAUAACGUAGCGAAAGUUACGCUAAUACCGCAUACGAUCUAAGGAUGAAAGUGGGGGAUUCGCAAGAACCUCAUGCUCCUGGAGCGGCCGAUAUCUGAUUAGCUAGUUGGUAGGGUAAAGGCCUACCAAGGCGACGAUCAGUAGCUGGUCUGAGAGGACGACCAGCCACACUGGAACUGAGACACGGUCCAGACUCCUACGGGAGGCAGCAGUGGGGAAUUUUGGACAAUGGGCGCAAGCCUGAUCCAGCAAUGCCGCGUGAGUGAAGAAGGCCUUCGGGUUGUAAAGCUCUUUUGUCAGGGAAGAAACGGUUGAGGCUAAUAUCCUCGGCUAAUGACGGUACCUGAAGAAUAAGCACCGGCUAACUACGUGCCAGCAGCCGCGGUAAUACGUAGGGUGCAAGCGUUAAUCGGAAUUACUGGGCGUAAAGCGUGCGCAGGCGGUUUUGUAAGUCUGUCGUGAAAGCCCCGGGCUCAACCUGGGAAUUGCGAUGGAGACUGCAAGGCUUGAAUCUGGCAGAGGGGGGUAGAAUCCCACGUGUAGCAGUGAAAUGCGUAGAGAUGUGGAGGAACACCGAUGGCGAAGGCAGCCCCCUGGGUCAAGAUUGACGCUCAUGCACGAAAGCGUGGGGAGCAAACAGGAUUAGAUACCCUCGUAGUCC